Molecule: long non-coding RNA, 463 nt
Organism: Mustela erminea (ermine)
Lineage: Eukaryota; Metazoa; Chordata; Mammalia; Carnivora; Mustelidae
Exons: 3
Source: RefSeq, a predicted model, not a curated record
CCGCCGGAGUCUCCUUGUAAAUUACGGGGAGGAGGGGUGCACAGUCCUUGGAUUGGGGACGAUGCUGAGAACAAACAGAAGCAUAAGGCGUAAGGAAGAGAGAAAAAUUCAAGACAGCUGUCCCGUUUCCGACUGGAAGAGUGGAAAACAGAUUUCACGGGGAACAGAAAAGGAACUGUCGUGCCUCGAGCAUGUGGGAAGACUUUAAUGGGCUCAAAGAACUGAAACUCAACACGAUCUAAGGAAGAAAUUAUGCCCCAACUUUUUUCCAAAAGAGCGUGCAUUAACAUCCAGUAUACAUAGCCACAUCUUCCAUAUUACUACAUCUACCAUCAAAGGAAGGGAGGCUAUAAUUAUAUACACAAGGCUGGCCGCGAUGGAAUUUCUGACUUAGCUGCUGACUGUCUCUGUUCCUGGGGGCCUGUGGCCCACAGUACUCACGGUAUUAUUGUGUUUCCAGACA